CCUGAUCGGGUCAGGCUUGCCCUGCGGCACUAGGGAUUAGCUCUUCUGAACAGCCCCACCUCUUCUUUCUGGAGUUGCCAGUUUCCUGCCCAACCCAGGGGCCGCAUGUAUUCAGGAGGCGCCCGAACUGCUUUGGGUGAGGCUAAAACGCUGAGAAAAUUCCGGCUAGAGAAGUACUUCUGGUCAGAGGGAGAGUUGAAUAUAGGCAGGAAAUUGACCAGAUACAUUUUCAGAGAUCUCCAAGUCCAGCACCCGGGGCAUCUGGGAACAGGGCUUCUGCCAGCCCAGCCGCAAGUUACAUUUGGCGGGAAUUGCAUUUGCCUUCACCUGGGGUUGUGUGUGUGUGUGUGUGUGUGUGUGUGUGUGUGUGUGUGUGUAGGGGGGGAGGGCGAUGGAAAAAAGCUGGAAGAGGGGCAUCCUAAAAUGGGGUAGGAGUAGGGAACAGGAGGCGAGAGGCCAGGGGAGGGGGCGCCGGGGAGCGCCCUGACCUCGAGGGCUGUCGAGAGGCGGAGAGGAUGGGGGUUGGGGGAGAAGAGGGGAGCCUGGCAGCCAAUGGGAGGGAGGAUCUCGUUUCAAAAGGGUUAACACACAGCCAAUGAGAGCCUGGGGGAGCGGAUCCUGCUCACUCCAUUCAAGAAUCCCAAGUAUUCAAGAUGGACGGCAGGGAGUGUGGAAGGAGAAAGGGGGCGCGGGGGGAAGAGCCAGAUCUGUAGAGGAGAGGAGCGCCGCAGCCAGCUUAUCCUGGAGCCUCGGUCCUGGCCGGCGGGUAGAGGGGCGGCCGGCGAGGACUCGAGCCUGGCGGGGGAAGAGAGGCUAGCGGGAUACGAGAGGGCGUGAGAAGGGGAGCGAGGCCAGAAAAGAGAGCCAAAAGGGAGGGAAAAGCAGAGAAAGAGCCCGGGAAGAAGGAGGUGGCGGGCAGAGGAACCUAAGAAGAGCGAUGUGCUGGGCCCCAUUCCUGCUGCUCUGGCGGGCUGGGGCCGGAAGAUGGUGGCCAAUGAGGAGGGGGAGUGGAGAGAACUUGAGCCAGGCCCUCCCCUCCCCCAUUUCCUCCUCUGUUUCUACACCCGCUUCUGGAAGGAGCUGGGGGAUGGCUCCUAGGCCCAAGGUGGGGGAGGGGUCCUGCUGGCUGUUGAAUUGCUGGUCUCCCCUCAGGAAUGAGUUAGGCACGUGAGCUCCAAGGGACUCGGUGUCUCAGCUGCGUAUCCCUUCGCUCCCUAAGGAAAGAUCUGGGAACUCCUUGAUGAAGAAUCUUCUUUGGCUACCGUGAAGCUUACUGGGUAGUCUUGUCUUUGUCCCUCUGCCCCAUGUUGGUCUGGUCCUGUUCCCAACUGGCUUGCCCAACUCCAGGAGCAGAGAGGCCUGGCGACUGACCCAAGCUGGGCCUUGGUUUCUGUCCAUUAGAACUGUGCAAACUGUGGGGCAGGGCCCAGUGUUUGCUGAUUACAAGAAUAAACUGCCUGGGAAGGCGGGAAAGACACUCUCCUGCUUCCUGAGAGGGUGGGAGGAGGCUGGAGGGGGAAGCACAGAGGAAGAGCUCCCAAAUGAAAUUCAGGCCUCCAUUUUUCCUGCUUGUUGCAAUGGGGGUGGGGGGUGGUCUCCCUGAGGCUACUCCAUGGUCUGAAUGGAUCUCCACAGGGAGGAGCCUUGCAGUCUCUGUCCCUUAGGUUAGAGCUGUAACUGGCUUCUGACCAGUAUGCUUAGCUGCUGUGUGACUCUAGAGGCCUGCAUGGCUCUGAGCCUUGGGUUUCAAGUGCACCUGGCUUUGGAAUUUUAUCAGUCUCUAUUGUCCUCAAUGAAAUUAAGGGGGAUGGCCUGGGGUCAUGGAAAUGAGUGUGAAGACUCCACUACUAAACCCUUGGGAUAGACAGGAACCGGUGGCUUCUAAGCCCAGUGUCAAUGAGAGCUUAUCCUUAACUCAAGAGCCAAAUCACUGGCCAUUUCGCUUAAUACCAUAUCCAUAGAGUACUUUGAAGACAUCAGAAAGGAAACAGUGGGGUUUCAGUUGCUUGCACCUCCAGAUCUGGGAGCUUCUUUCUCCUGCCUAAGCACCUGUAGUUAGGUUCCAUUAUUCUAGACCUGGAGGUCACCUGAGAUCAUCACCUUGAGACCUCCAAGGUUUCUUUCUUUCUUUUUUUUUUUUUCUUUUCAAAAAUUAAGAAGUUAGCAUUAGUCUGGAGAUGAGUGAAAGGCUCUGCCUGAAAGGUUGCAGGCAGAGAGCAACCUCCCCUACUACCACCACCACCACAACACAACCAGUUAUUUCCUUUGAGAAGUGUCAAAUGAUGGGACUCCCACAGGCGGUCUCACUUGGCUCUGCACCACCACCCCUCAAGAAAAAGGUGAUCUUUGCUGGGAAGGAAAUGAGGACGAGGGACGAGAGGAAGGCCGUGACGUGAGCUGAGUGUGGCCAGGGACUGGGAGAAAGGGUGAGGAGGCGGGCCGGCAUGCCUUUGCUGCUGGCCGGAGCUCUUUUCACAUUGUGCUACUGUCUAACGUGUACCGAGCAGUGCAAUGUUAAAAGGGCAUCGGCCUUGUAGUACUACCCAGUGCCGGCAGCCUCCUCAGCAUCACUGCAUUUUCUCCCACCUGAGCACCAGUCAGCUACUCUGCUGGCAAUUUGGAUAUAUGGAGCCCUCCCUUAGAUGAGGAAGCUAAGGCUGUAGAGCUCCUAAGUUAACUGCUCUAUCCUGAGCCCAACAGGAAGGCACCCAUUUUUGUAGACCUGUCCAGAGAGAUUUGAACUGAGGGGGUGAAUGGUUUUGAUGCCACCUGCUGGUUAUGUGAGGAUAUCAUCUGAAGUCUUCAGCUUUUAAGAAUAAACUCCGCCGCCACACCCCCCACACCCCUGCCCCGCCAAGGGGCAGCUCCUUAAAUGAAGGUCUGAGUUUUCAGGUGAAGCUUGGGAUGGGCAGAUGGUGAAGUAUGGGAGAAAAUUUGUGAGGCCCACAGAAGGCCUCUGGGGAUAGGGUGCACUGAAAAGGAAAGGGGCUAACAAGAAAGGACAGAUGCCUAGGCAAAGGGGCUUCGGUGUCCCUCCUGUCCUCUACGGCUCUUCCUUGCAUCUUCCAUGUAGGAAGGAGGUCUCCUCUUCACUCAGUUUUCAGCAUGACACUCUCCUGACCACUCACUUGCUUGUGAUGGUUCUUGAAGGCCUGGUCACCCAGGAUUCGGUCAGCACUAGUUAGAAUCUUAAGUGGUGCCCAGAGUCUUCUCGUGCUCCACAACCACACCAUUGACUUUUCUGUCUUUCACAGGGCUCUCCUUGAGCAGAUUUUAAAGCUUGCUCUGAUGCAGCAAGUGGGGCCAAAGGAUGGAAUUGGGUACCUACUAGAAUUUAAGGAAAGAAGACACUGUGGGUCAGACACUCCUAUGGUCCCAGCACUCAGGCUUCUGGCUUGUUGGCCCUUCUGUGUCUGCUGGUUCUUUGUCCUUUCUACAGUCUCUCGAUUCUGAUGCUAACAGCACAGGUGGCUCUAGGCUGGAGAGAUGGCUCAGCGGUUAAAAGCACAGCUAUGCUCUUGCAGAGGUCCUGAGUUCAAUUCCCAGCAACCACAGGGUGGUUCACAACUAUCUAUAAAGGGAUCGGAUGCCCUCUUCUGGUGUGUCUGAAGACAGUGACAGUGUAGUCACACUACAGAUAGCUCUAAAUCCAUUACUUCAGUCUAAGUAAUCUGAGCCUCCCUGGGUAGAGUGGUGCACACCUUUAAUCCCGGUACUGAAGAGGGAGGUAAAACUGAGUUCAAGAUUCGCAUGAUCUUUAUAGGAAGUUUCAGGCAAGCCAGAGCUAAGUAGUGAAACUAUGGCAACCCUCCCUCCCUUGCACAGCAUGAGAAAGUACUGAGCUUGAUCCCAAACACAAGGGAUCCACGGGCCAGAUGCGGCAGAACACGCCUAUAAUCUCAGAAAUAAUAAGUAAUUAGAAACUGGAGGUAGGAUUAGAAAGUCAUACCGCAAGUUAGAAGGCCAGCCUAGGCUACAUAAGACUAUUUCAGAAUAACAGUAGUUUGCCCAUGCUUUCCCAGUGUCCUUGAGAUGCAGUCCCAAUCCUCUGAGGUUUACAGCUCUUCCCCUUUCUCCCAUUUUAAUCUCAUGUCUCAUCCUCUUGCACUUCUGUUCCAGCCUCAAAAAAAAAAAAAGUUUCCUCAAAUGAGCCCAGCUUGUGCCACACCACACAGUUCUGUCUGAAAUUCUCUCUCAUCUUGUCCUUUUUCUGCCCAUCUUUCCAACAUGGUCUCUCUUCUGGGAAGCCAUCCCUGACACCUCAGGUCUAGGGAGCUAGUCUGGACUAGAGCCCAUAUUAUCUUCUGUUGGGAUUAAUUAGGUUCUUUCUGGCCACUAGAUUCAGAGUUCCAAAAAGUCUGCCCAUGGCUGGCUUGCUCUCCACGCAUCCCCAGAGUUCAGAACAACGCCUGGCAAUUAAUACACACCUACAAUGUAACAAAUGGCUUUUUACCAUAAAUAUAGUCUUGCUCUAUAGGGGCUGGGCCUCUCCAAUUUCACAUCAGUGCACUCCAGCCAUGUUCCUCACAUCACACUUUUCUGUUGAUGCUAUACUUUAGAUCAACUGCCAGCAGCAUCCCGCCCCAUAGAUUUUCAUUUUAGCCUCAAGGGUAUCCAUGAAUUAAGACAUCUUAGGACACCCUCCUCCUCCAAAUAAUUGAUACACAAGAAAACACUAAACUGUGGAGUAAGUUUACCCUAGUUGCACAUCCUGAAUCUGAUAAAAAGUAGCCUCACUGGGGAGGGCCCAGGGGACUGAAGACACUUAGAUAUUCCUUCCCUUUGGACAAGCUCACAAAACCCACGCCUCUUGGUUCACCUGGAUGCUUACCGCUUGUGAAACAGGUGGAGGAGGAUCUUGCCACAAACAAAGCAACUGCUGCCUCCUACUGGUUUAAAAGGGGUGGGGUGACCCUUCCUUGCUUGUGUGCAUACGGAGGACAGUACAAGGUCCGCACCUAAGGAAGGAAAGCCAGGACAACCACCUCACAGUUGCUUUUCCCCUUUUUAUUAAAAAUAGACCCAAAACACUUUAUGUAUCAUACAAAAGUUUCGUUCGCUGGUGGCAGUCACAGGAAAGACUGGUCCCUCAGCGCUGAUGAUCCGCCUCCUCCAGAGGGCGGGGACCUCGGGAGCAGUGGCUGAGCCUUGGGGAAUGCCUGUAAAGACUGCUCUCUCUGGCAACAGCCGGCUAGGGGUGGGGGCUGUUCUUGGAGCAGCUUUUCCCACCCCACCCAAUGGCAAAGAUUAGAUACUUGAAAGUGCCUCUUUAGUGCUAAGGUAAACAGUGGAGUGAAAUGGAAACCCCUGUCACUGAUUCCCAGGGUCUAGGGUUUGGUUUUCCUUCUAUUGGCCCCAUCCGAUCCUUUAUUUUUUUUAAACCAAGAAUGGGGGGUGGAUAAACUACCCUCAGACUCUGGGGCCCUGAUAUCUGAGACCAGAAUUUCACUCCAUCUUUGCUUUUCUGUGGUCUAGCCCCACCACCAAUGUUUGUCCUGUUUAUUCAAAAAAAAAAAAAAAAAA
This is a long non-coding RNA of Mus musculus (house mouse), 5523 nucleotides long. RefSeq annotates it as predicted gene, 19426. The transcript is spliced from 2 exons. The record is from RefSeq and is a predicted model, not a curated record. Lineage: Eukaryota; Metazoa; Chordata; Mammalia; Rodentia; Muridae.